AGUGAACGCUGGCGGUAGGCUUAACACAUGCAAGUCGAACGGCAGCACAGUAAGAGCUUGCUAUUACGGGUGGCGAGUGGCGGAAGGGUGAGGAAUACAUCGGGAUCUACGUUUUCGCGGGGGGUAACGUAGGGAAACACACGCUAAUACCGGAUAAGACAUACGGGUGAAAGCAGGGGAUCUUCGGACCUUGCGCGAUUGAAUGAGCCGAUGUCGGAUUAGCUAGUUGGCGGGGUAAAGGCCUACCAAGCCGACGAUCCGUAGCUGGUCUCAGAGGACGAGCAGCCACACUGGGACUGAGACACGGCCCAGACUCCUACGGGAGGCAGCAGUGGGGAAUUUUGGACAAUGGGCGCAAGCCUGAUCCAGCAAUGCCGCGUGCGGGAAGAAGGCCUUCGGGUUGUACACCGCUUUUGUACAGAACGAAAAGGCUCUGGCUAAUACCUGGGGCUGAUGACGGUACCGUAAGAAUAAGCACCGGCUAACUACGUG
This 492-nucleotide ribosomal RNA is filed under the name uncultured bacterium. RNAcentral describes it as "partial 16S ribosomal RNA". It matches the Rfam family "Bacterial small subunit ribosomal RNA", at positions 29 to 507 of the family's 1533-position model. The record is from RNAcentral.